CUCGUCCUUGUCAGGUGGUUGUGUGCCCAGAAUGGCAUUCACAAGUCUGGAGUCUACGUAACUUGAGACUGACUGCCUGUGAAUGCCGCUAAGGACCUGUC
Molecule: long non-coding RNA, 101 nt
Organism: Rhagoletis zephyria (snowberry fruit fly)
Lineage: Eukaryota; Metazoa; Arthropoda; Insecta; Diptera; Tephritidae
Source: RefSeq, a predicted model, not a curated record